UACGUAGGGGGCAAGCGUUGUCCGGAAUCAUUGGGCGUAAAGCGCGUGUAGGCGGUUCGGUAAGUCGGCUGUGAAAGUCCAGGGCUCAACCCUGGGAUGCCGGUCGAUACUGCCGUGCUUGAGGACUGGAGAGGAGACUGGAAUUUACGGUGUAGCGGUGAAAUGCGUAGAUAUCGUAAGGAAGACCAGUGGCGAAGGCGGGUCUCUGGACAGUUCCUGACGCUGAGGCACGAAGGCCAGGGGAGCAAACGGG
RNAcentral lists this ribosomal RNA (253 nucleotides) under uncultured bacterium. Its description in RNAcentral is "partial 16S ribosomal RNA". It matches the Rfam family "Bacterial small subunit ribosomal RNA", at positions 524 to 776 of the family's 1533-position model. The record is from RNAcentral.